CCUACGGGUGGCAGCAGUGGGGAAUAUUGGGCAAUGGACGCAAGCCUGACCCAGCAACGCCGCGUGAAGGAAGAAGGCUUUCGGGUUGUAAACUUCUUUUAUGAGGGAAGAGCAGAAGACGGUAACUAAUGAAUAAGCUACGGCGAAAUACGGGCAAGCAGCCACGGUAAUACGGAGGCCGCAAGCGUUGUCCGGAUUUACUGGGUGGAAAGGGUGGGUAGUCCGGCUGAGAAGGCAGAUGUGAAAUUCCGGGGCGAAACCCCAGACCCGCAUUUGAAACUGUUUGUCUUGAGUAUCGGAGAGGCAGGCGGAAUUCCUAGUGUAGCGGUGAAAUGCGUAGAUAUUAGGAGGAACACCGGUGGCGAAGGCGGCCUGCUGGA
This 380-nucleotide ribosomal RNA is filed under the name uncultured bacterium. RNAcentral describes it as "partial 16S ribosomal RNA". It matches the Rfam family "Bacterial small subunit ribosomal RNA", at positions 338 to 733 of the family's 1533-position model. The record is from RNAcentral.